UGUCAACCUGCACCAGCUGAGGAUUUGCCUGAAAACAGGUGAGGUCCUCAUUGUCCCAUUUGCUGUAUCUAUCCCUAGAAAGGGCUACUUUUUGGGAAGUGUCUUUGAGAGCCUUUAUCAGCAGGGUAAAGGUACCUGCGGCAGCUGCUUUGCAGGUCCCCUGCUGUGCAAAUCGCCCUUCACAGAGGAAGAUCUUCCUGUCAGUGACUGACAAGAGGUGCCAGGAGCAGGCUACCAGACUUUUGAAACCUAAAUAAAGAUGCCUUUUAUAUUUUCUGAGACUGACAAUGUUGAAGAGGCUCGGAUACAUGGUGUCAAAAGAAAUUUUCACCAAGUGGCAUUUUCCAGGAAUGGCAUGCAUCAGUGUGGAAACUGUGGCUAGCCAGCAUUUUUCACUGCUGAUGGCAGGAUUCCAACCAAAGGCACCUGUCCUUCCCAGUGACUUGCGUGACAAGUGGGUUGGGGCCAGAAAAAACAAGAUCUUUUGUUAUUUAACCAUAAGCAAAGUAACAAAUCAAGUAGCAGGGGUUCUGAUCUGGGCCUGGUGA
RNAcentral lists this long non-coding RNA (548 nucleotides) under Cyanistes caeruleus (blue tit). RNAcentral describes it as "lncRNA (ENSCCEG00000019214.1)". Lineage: Eukaryota; Metazoa; Chordata; Aves; Passeriformes; Paridae. The record is from RNAcentral.